Molecule: transfer RNA, 75 nt
Filed under: Podarcis lilfordi (Lilford's wall lizard)
Lineage: Eukaryota; Metazoa; Chordata; Lepidosauria; Squamata; Lacertidae
Description: tRNA.Lys
Source: RNAcentral
UUCAAAUAGCUCAGCUGGUAGAGUAUGAGACUCUUAAUCUCUGGGUCAUGAGUUCGAGCCCCACACUGGGCAAAA